CCCGCUGGGCACAGCAUCCCGGAACCUGCACGCCCACGGCCACUAGCCUGAGGUCGCCCUCUUUCACCUCCCUUUCUUCCUCCCUGACAGACACAGACGGGGAGGAUGUGCGCGGCCCUUGUGAAGAUGCUUCUAUGCGCAGAACUGGGACGGUCAUUUUGUUCAUGGCUGGAUUGGGAGCCUCAAGCCCCUGGAUGACGAGAUGAGUCCCUUGACGAGAUGGGGAGCAGCAUCACUAAGAGAAAGGCAAGUGUGCUGUUGAGGGUUUCCCACUGGGAGAGAAGUAGAACACCAAACGCCCCCUCCCUCCACUUUUCCGUUUUGCAUCAACUCAUGGGCCCUGGGCUGCCAUGGAUGUGUACCUCAGAGCCUUGAGGGUUCAGGAGGAUGGCAGGGUAACAGGGAGAGGAGUGGCAGCUCAGGAGCCCUGCAAGGCCACUUGCCUGAACCACAGUGACUGAGGAGGCAGCCAGGGAGCCAUUCUUACAUUUCCCUAGGAUUGCGGCCUCCCUCCUUUCCACCCACAACACAGAGGGCCACCCCCAGGACUAUGCUUGGGGUGCGCUUUCCCCCAUAGGAUCUGUUCGUCAGCAUCAAGCACUGGCCCAACACCCAGUCCCUGGAACUCAGGCACACCAGUCAGCAUGUCCUGCGGUUGCCAACCUCAGUGGGGAGUGUUGAAGACCAAUACAGGCCACAUGCAGGUUACAUGGGUGACACCUCCCUCCUAGAUACAGUCAAUUCACUUUUUUCUCACCCUGUUGUCAAGGAUGGGACAUUAGUUUGGAAAUGGAUGGCGACCUCCAUGUGAGAUAACCGAACACGAGCCAACCCACAAGCUGGCCAGCAGUUGCCAGUUCCCUCCCAUAUCGUGAUUGUCACCUCUGGGGUCAUGACCUGAGCUGAAGGCAGACACUUAACUAACUGAGCCACCAAGGAGUCCCUAUAGUCCCUCCUAUUUUAAGCCUACAGUGCCCAUUUCCCUUUGGGUCUGUUGAAGAAACCUAACCCCUCUUCCCCUACUUCUCCCUCAGCCAUAGGUACCAUCUUUGAACAACUCUUUAAACAAUGCUUAAUGUCUUCCAUUCUCCAAGGGCCCUGUUGCCUUUGUCUCUAUUUUUCCAUAUUCAGCUAUAUCUCGGGUUUAGGUGAAUUCCGGGAAUGAUAAUUGCUGGAUAAGAAAUUCAGCCAACUGGCUUUCAGGGAGUUGCUUGUUGUUCAGUUGGUGUUUGGUGUACUGGUUUGUCUGGGUAUUGGCCUGAUUGUGUAUCACUUAGCUCAUCAACUCUUGGUCUUUGUCCUUUGGAAGGAAGGAAAGAAGAACAAAAAGAAAAGAAGAAAGAAAGGAAGAAAAGAAGUAGGGAGAAAGGAAAGACCAUCAUCCCUGAGUGACCCUCCACUUAAUUCUGUGCUCAGUCUGACCUGCCCACUAUGGACAAGAGGGACUCCUGGAAUUCAGAGAAGCUCUGACCAUUCCCUUCCCUCCAUCCAAUGACCUGCUUAGACCUUCAACUGACCCUGCCCUGGAGAAAUACGAUUUGAGCCUCAUGUGUAAUUUAAAAUUUUCCUGUACUGCCCAAAAACAGUAUAAUAAAAUGGAUGAAAUUUA
Lutra lutra (Eurasian river otter) is the source of this 1609-nucleotide long non-coding RNA. RefSeq lists it as uncharacterized. The transcript is spliced from 3 exons. NCBI's taxonomy places the organism in Eukaryota, Metazoa, Chordata, Mammalia, Carnivora, Mustelidae. The record is from RefSeq and is a predicted model, not a curated record.